This 478-nucleotide ribosomal RNA is filed under the name uncultured bacterium. RNAcentral describes it as "partial 16S ribosomal RNA". It matches the Rfam family "Bacterial small subunit ribosomal RNA", at positions 28 to 523 of the family's 1533-position model. The record is from RNAcentral.
GACGAACGCUGGCGGCGUGCUUAACACAUGCAAGUCGAACGGCAAGGCCCUUCGGGGUACACGAGUGGCGAACGGGUGAGUAACACGUGGGUGAUCUGCCCUGCACUUCGGGAUAAGCCUGGGAAACUGGGUCUAAUACCGGAUAGGACCACUGCCUGCAUGGGUGGUGGUGGAAAGCUUUUGCGGUGUGGGAUGGGCCCGCGGCCUAUCAGCUCGUUGGUGGGGUGAUGGCCUACCAAGGCGACGACGGGGAGCCGGCCUGAGAGGGUGACCGGCCACACUGGGACUGAGAUACGGCCCAGACUCCUACGGGAGGCAGCAGUGGGGAAUAUUGCACAAUGGGCGCAAGCCUGAUGCAGCGACGCCGCGUGAGGGAUGACGGCCUUCGGGUUGUAAACCUCUUUCAGCACCGACGAAGCGCAAGUGACGGUAGGUGCAGAAGAAGGACCGGCCAACUACGUGCCAGCAGCCGCGGUAA